UACGUAGGUGACGAGCGUUAUCCGGAAUUACUGGGCGUAAAGCGCGCGCAAGCGGUUGGACAAGUCUGGCGUGAAAUCUCCUGGCUUAACUAGGAGCGGUCGCUGGAAACUGUUCGGCUUGAGGCGAUGAGAGGGGUGCAGAAUUCCCGGUGUAGUGGUGGAAUGCGUAGAUAUCGGGGGGAAUACCAGUGGCGAAAGCGGCACCCUAGCGUUAGCCUGACGCUCAUGUGCGAAAGCGUGGGGAGCGAACGGG
This 253-nucleotide ribosomal RNA is filed under the name uncultured bacterium. RNAcentral's name for it is "partial 16S ribosomal RNA". It matches the Rfam family "Bacterial small subunit ribosomal RNA", at positions 524 to 776 of the family's 1533-position model. The record is from RNAcentral.